This 706-nucleotide long non-coding RNA is filed under the name Mytilus galloprovincialis (Mediterranean mussel). Lineage: Eukaryota; Metazoa; Mollusca; Bivalvia; Mytilida; Mytilidae. The record is from RNAcentral.
GGCUUAUCAAAAUUACUAUCGGUUUUUGUUUUCAUUGAUACACAUGAUUGAUCUAAAGUGAUUACCCUUUAUCAUCGAAAUCGAUCCGAAGAGUUAGUCACAUACUCGCAUUUUUUUACACAUCGGCCGAAACCAUUUAAAAAGUGGAAUAUCUUUUACAGAAGUAUAUGUACAUUGGUAUUCCUUUACCAAUCUGCACUUAUUUUGACAUGGAGCAAACUUGUUAUUGUUUUUAUAUAAUAGUGGAGUUUGAUUCAAAAUUAACAAAUACAACUUGAUAGCAAAUUUUGUUGGCACGAUAACAAAUAAACAUUCACAUACUGUUCCUUCAUUUCUAAUCAAAAUUAAAAUCAACGUCAAUUGAUGCUAGCUCUAUAAAUCAACGGUUUGAAUUAUAUUUUGAUUUAUUUAGAUGUUUUCUUCAAUUAUCUUAGGGGCCUCUGUGGCCGAAUGGUCUAAGUAGUCGAAUUACUGUAUCACUAGAUCACUAGCCUGUCAACACUGAGGUUGUGAGGUUGGAAUCCCUCACAUGUGCAAGACUCCAAUUUUAAUUGAUUAAGAUUGACGAUUUUCCUACCGAAGUUCGGUGGUUUUCUCCAGUCACUCCAACUAUAAAAACUGACAGCCACGAAAUAUCAGAAUUGUGCUGAAAGUGGCAUAAAACAUCAAUCAAUUAUUUCAAACAUUUAAGUGAUAUAUAUAUAAA